UUGCACGCUGGCGGCAUGCUUUACACAUGCCAGUCGCGCGGCAGCGCGGGGGCAACCCUGGCGGCGAGCGGCGAACGGGUGAGUAAUGCAUCGGAACGUAUCCUCGAGUGGGGGAUAACCCAGCGAAAGUUGGGCUAAUACCGCAUGAGCUCUGAGGAGGAAAGCGGGGGACCUGCGAGGGCCUCGCGCUGGAGGAGCGGCCGAUGUCCGAUUAGCUAGUUGGUGGGGUAAAGGCUUACCAAGGCGACGAUCGGUAGCUGGUCUGAGAGGAUGAUCAGCCACACUGGGACUGAGACACGGCCCAGACUCCUACGGGAGGCAGCAGUGGGGAAUUUUGGACAAUGGGGGCAACCCUGAUCCAGCCAUGCCGCGUGAGUGAAGAAGGCCUUCGGGUUGUAAAGCUCUUUCGGACGGAACGAAAUGGGCGGGACUAAUACUCCUGUCUGAUGACGGUACCGUAAGAAGAAGCACCGGCUAACUACGUG
Molecule: ribosomal RNA, 485 nt
Filed under: uncultured bacterium
Lineage: Bacteria
Description: partial 16S ribosomal RNA
Rfam family: Bacterial small subunit ribosomal RNA
Source: RNAcentral